ACGCCUAARGGCAAGCAUGGCUCGCUGGCCCUAAGGCWAAGUGUUGUCCUGUACCACGUAGUUAGGAGUUGCAACGCACACGUGAGAAGCUUCUCCCAAAAGGAAAUAAAUGAGGUUCCCUACUUGUUACCUGGUGUGCCUUUUGCGYGCAGCUUUUUUUCUGUUGCCUGCUGUGGCUUGCUUGGGUCAUGCUGAGAGUGAGGGUAGAGUUUGUUGUGRCUGUCUUCUGUCAGGUCAACUUGCUGUGCGCUUUUGGCACACACAGGCAACAAACAAGACGGAAGGGGCGGGAGCGAUGGCCGUGCUGGCGGCAACAACACAGGCACAGGUGCAAGGGAGCAUGCACAUGAGUUGCUUUUUGUGUGCAGCUUUUUUUCUCUGUAGCCUGCUGUGGCUUGCGCAAGCAUGCUGAGUCAUGCUGAGAGUGAGGGUGGAGUUUGGUGCACAAUGCCUUCUGUCAUGGCCAACUUGCUGUGCGCUUUUGUUACACAUGGGUGAUAAAGGGGACAGGAGGGGUAGGAGAGAUGGCUGUGCUAGAGGCAGCGACACAGGUUGUGGUGAGGAGCAUGACUUGCUGCUUGUGUGCAGCUUUUUCAAUUGAAAUUUUCGCGUCUGCUCUGUUCUGCUCUGCUACAUUUGGGGACAUGGACAGGAUGCUCUCCCCUUGUGUUGGCCCUGCUGAAGAUGGUCUUCGUAUUCCACGCAGGUGAUGGGAGGAAGAAGACUGGGAACAUAAUUCCAAAGAGGCCACCUGCGCCAAAAGCGGGCAACCACGCCUGGCUGGCAAAGCCCUCAGGCAAGUAUUCCUCUACCACUUACAACUAAUUAGAAGUUGCGAUGUGCAUGUGAAAAGCUUCUGCCAUAAGAAAAUAAGAGAGAUUGCAUGCUUGCCACUUGGCUGUGUCAUGUAAAGCCUAAAUAACAGUUUACGUUCCCCACUUUCUUGACCUUCAUAGGAAUGGGAGAGAGGCAGGCGCUCGCGCAGCAGCUGGAGCACAAGCACAGGGAUGUGAGGUCUGCGUUUUUGUGGCAAUUGAUGAUGGGCUGUAUGACAUUGGAAUGAAUCAAAGCGGCAAGUUGGUUUCUCAUUN
This 1091-nucleotide long non-coding RNA is filed under the name Dunaliella salina. Its description in RNAcentral is "long non-coding RNA (DSAL_LNC000296)". Lineage: Eukaryota; Viridiplantae; Chlorophyta; Chlorophyceae; Chlamydomonadales; Dunaliellaceae. The record is from RNAcentral.